UCAAAUCUCAAGCGGCGUACCAGGAUGGAGCACUCGUACAUGGCUUUCACUUCAAAUUUACCAUUCCUGAAUUAAGUAAUUCUUGAAGGCCAUAGGCAACCAAAGUUCAGAGACCUCUUUAGCGGCUGUACUAAAAAAAUUACAUGUCAGACAGUAGUCAAAAGGUAGUUGAACUUUCAAGUGGUGCUUAUCUGUACUGAAGAAAUAGAAUAACGUGAGGAUAAUAUUAUAGAACUUGAAGAUGAAGAGAAGUUAACAUGAAACCGAUAGACCUCUUAUUAUUCAGUUAGUUAGCAC
RNAcentral lists this long non-coding RNA (297 nucleotides) under Olea europaea (common olive). RNAcentral's name for it is "long non-coding RNA (OEUR_LNC006154)". Lineage: Eukaryota; Viridiplantae; Streptophyta; Magnoliopsida; Lamiales; Oleaceae. The record is from RNAcentral.